UACAGGAGAUGGGUGUAAGAACUGGCCCACAAAGGAGCUGGUUCCACCAAAAAUCUCUUCCUGAGUUUCUUGAUCUGUGAAGCAUUGACUGGUUCCACAUUCCAAAUUGCAAACACAAGUGAAAAAAGCUUGUUUAAGAACAAUUGGACUGUCUUCAUAUGCAGAAUGGAUCUUGAGCUUUGUACAGGAGAUGGGUGUAAGAACUGGUCCACAAGGUAGCUGGUUCCACCAAAAAAUCUCUUUCUGAGUUUCUUGAUCUGUGAAGCAUAGACUGCGAGUACAAGACAAAAUUGAUCUUGAACUCCACACAAGAUUGGUGUAAGAACUGACCUGUAUAGGAGUUGAUUUCAUAUUGCCUUUCUCUGGUGCCUUUGUUUCCCUUUGUGUAAAAGAAACUGACACUACAAAAGAACUGUUCAAAAAUGUCUAUAGUUGCUCUGAUUUGAAUUUCAACUUUUUGCAUUAUUGAAACUGAUCUUGAGAAAGUUUUAGUUUUCUCUUUUCUUCAAAUUUAAUUAACUUACCUAUUUAUUUUUUUCUGAAUUCAGUUUUACAACCCAGAUAAAAUUUGAAAAUUUAUGUGACUACUCAGCUCACUUAGUAUAUGUACUAUUUUGAGUAGGAUUUUGCCAAGUAUUAAAUCAAUUUUAUUCACUGUUUUGAUUACUUAUUAUUUAUUUUCUGGCAAAUAAAUAGCUGGUGCUGACUUGCAAACUGAGGAAAAUUACUAAUUAAAUAAUGAUUAGAAUUGAUGAUAAUUUAUUAACCCCUAAGUUUAUUAACAAUUUAUUGAUUAAUUAACAUUCUUCAAAUAAAAUGUUUAACCUUCACAGGAUUUUAAGACCAAAGGUAUUCAACCUUACGACCAAGGAUGUUGAACGUGACAAUCUUUCAUCCACUUCACCAGAAUACAGGUAUCAACGGUGGCUGGUUUCAAAUGUUCAAGAAGGUGAUUUCCCAAAGCAUCAUUUACACUGUUGAAAAAGUUCCUCUCACAUUUUUCGUUAACACGAGAGACAAACUCAACUUUAAAAACCAAAGUUGUUCAACUUAACAAAGAUGUUAAACGUGAUAAUAAUUGGUUUCGCUACGAUACAGGUGAGCCCCCUUAGAUAUCUUAAAUGGUUACGAAUAGGUCCAAUAUGCGUACAUGUGGUACUACGUUCAUUGUACUUCAACGGCGUUUGGUUUGGUUGUAACAGCGAUCGGGAUCCGAUUUGGUCAGUGUUGGUUGAAAUUGCAAUUUAGUUUGAGAAUUUUCAA
Long non-coding RNA from Orbicella faveolata, 1263 nucleotides. The record is from RefSeq and is a predicted model, not a curated record. Lineage: Eukaryota; Metazoa; Cnidaria; Anthozoa; Scleractinia; Merulinidae.